Mesocricetus auratus (golden hamster) is the source of this 186-nucleotide small nuclear RNA. Its record names the gene U2. It matches the Rfam family "U2 spliceosomal RNA". Rfam says of the family: U2 is a small nuclear RNA (snRNA) component of the spliceosome (involved in pre-mRNA splicing). The record is from Ensembl. Lineage: Eukaryota; Metazoa; Chordata; Mammalia; Rodentia; Cricetidae.
AUCACCUCUCAGUAUCCUGCCAAAGAUAAGUCUAGAAUCCGUGUGUAUCAGUUUAACAUGUGAUAAUCCUCAGCCCAAGGACAAUAUAUUAAGUGGAUUUUGGAAGCAGGGAGAUGGGACAGGAGCUCGCCUCAACCUCUCCACACAUCACCCUGACACAGCACAUCUUCAGGGGACUUACAAAAA